Molecule: RNA transcript, 1617 nt
Organism: Tribolium castaneum (red flour beetle)
Lineage: Eukaryota; Metazoa; Arthropoda; Insecta; Coleoptera; Tenebrionidae
Exons: 3
Source: RefSeq, a predicted model, not a curated record
AAAUCAGUACAAAUUAUCUCUUGGUAUUAGCAGUUUCAAAACUAUAAAAACGCCAACGUCGCAUUUUCUCUCAAAAUUAGCUGGUAUAAAUUGUUCAUGCACCUCAAAAAAAAUAAUAGCUAAUAUAAUUUAAACUUUCAAUAAGAGAUUUAAUCAUUAAUAACUAUUCUACAAUUUUAUACGUGUUAUUUAAAAAAAUUAUUCGGCAAAAUACGACGUUGGCGUUUUGAAACAGCUUAUAUUGCUUUUGCUUCUCUCCUUUUUGCUUUUAAUUUAUCGCCUCAAUUCGCGAUCAAAUUUACCAGUGAGAAGGUCGAGCGGUUAAAACCACAGGAGAUAGAGUUAGAUAAAUAUGUAGUUUAAAUUAGGCAAAGUAAAUAAAAAGGGGGGAAGGAAAGGAAAAAAAAAAGGAGAGGAAAGGAAGCGGAAGUGAUCUUAUAUGCCUUUUUGGCGGUAUACCGGACUAACUUAACGCUAUCGAAGCACCGAUACACGCGUCGCGAAAAUCAACUGACUUUCCGAGAGGCGCAAGUUUCUCGACAGUGACUCAAAUUAAGCCGGAAGGGCACGGAAUCUCAGAAUACGUAAAGAAAAAAAGAUAGGAGAAAAAAAAGCAAGUACAGGUCCGAAAAAUGGUCGAAUAUAACGCCGACAAUGCUCCCACAGGACGAAUUAUCUGUGUGUGGUGAUUCCCAGGAACGACUCAACUUCUCGCAGGGCCAAGAUGAUACCCUAGACUCUCGCCUUCGGAUGACGUCACUCGUCGAGUCGAAAUACGUCCCCGCAAUCGAUUGGUGGACCAAAACGCCAGGUAUAUCCCUCAGGAUGAGGCCGAAGAAAAAGAUUUGUAUAAAAGAAGUGAUGCAAUCAGCUGAAGCUGAUUAUCAGAACUUGAAGGUCAAAUCAAGGCCUGAAGAUGGUGUGCGGCCUUUAACAGUGGAGUUUUUCCAGAGUUUGAUUUAAAUUCGACAAACGGUCGAAGACUUAAUCAACCAGCCUAAUUUCGUUGUGCUCGAAAAUCCGACAAAGGGUCGUUUGAAGAUUAGCCCCAAGAUCUUCCAAAAAUGUAGCAAACUCAUUACGGUGUAUCAAACAUGGAAAAGAGGCAUAAUGGCGAUAGUCAUUUUCUUUUAUCAACGAGGCCCUAAAAAAAAUCCUACGUCAAACGCAAAUCCUCGCCGAAAAAGAUUACAGGAAACUAGAAAAUAAAGAAGAAAACUACCCAGAAGAAAAUUCAAGAGGAAGUUGCUGAUUUACUGUCUUGUUAAUUAUACUGAUGUUAAUAAAAACCAAAAAAAAAAAACGACAGGUUACGAGCUAAUAAAAGAAAAUUGUAAACUAGCGUAAUUAUUUAAUAAAUUUCCUUAAGAUAACUCCUAGCGUUUCGUUGCUGUUCAGGCAAAAAAUACCUGGCCAGAGCAUGAAGAUUUUUUCGUUCAAACCGAUAUAAAAUCUCAAAAUCUUUUCCCACGGGUUCGCAAGGUUGUUUAUAAGUUUUUCUUACCCAUUGUUGCACAAAAGCCACCAUCGUUUCGAGUUUGAGGUGUUACUUUUAGAAAGUGAUACUCGUACUGAUUAGCAUUAACAAUUUUGAAGUAAAUUCAUUAUAAUUAGUUA